UACGUAGGGGGCGAGCGUUAAUCGGAAUUACUGGGCGUAAAGCGUGCGCAGGCGGUUCGCCAAGUCAGGUGUGAAAUCCCCGGGCUUAACCUGGGAAUUGCGCCUGAAACUAGCGGGCUUGAGUGUGGCAGAGGGGGGUGGAAUUCCACGUGUAGCAGUGAAAUGCGUAGAGAUGUGGAGGAACACCGAUGGCGAAGGCAGCGCUCUGGGUCAACACUGACGCUCAGGCACGAAAGCGUGGGGAGCAAACAGG
RNAcentral lists this ribosomal RNA (253 nucleotides) under uncultured bacterium. Its description in RNAcentral is "partial 16S ribosomal RNA". It matches the Rfam family "Bacterial small subunit ribosomal RNA", at positions 524 to 776 of the family's 1533-position model. The record is from RNAcentral.